RNAcentral lists this unclassified non-coding RNA (289 nucleotides) under Diaporthales sp. RNAcentral describes it as "partial contains 5.8S ribosomal RNA, internal transcribed spacer 2, and large subunit ribosomal RNA". The stretch from base 1 to 71 matches the Rfam family "5.8S ribosomal RNA", at positions 84 to 154 of the family's 154-position model. Lineage: Eukaryota; Fungi; Ascomycota; Sordariomycetes; Diaporthales. The record is from RNAcentral.
GUGAGUCAUCGAAUCUUUGAACGCACAUUGCGCCCUCUGGUAUUCCGGAGGGCAUGCCUGUUCGAGCGUCAUUUCAACCCUCAAGCCUGGCUUGGUGAUGGGGCACUGCCUGUAAAAGGGCAGGCCCUGAAAUCUAGUGGCGAGCUCGCCAGGACCCCGAGCGUAGUAGUUACAUCUCGCUCUGGAAGGCCCUGGCGGUGCCCUGCCGUUAAACCCCCAACCUCUGAAAAUUUGACCUCGGAUCAGGUAGGAAUACCCGCUGAACUUAAGCAUAUCAAUAAGCGGAGGA